This 373-nucleotide long non-coding RNA is filed under the name Homo sapiens (human). RNAcentral's name for it is "HSALNT0357229". The record is from RNAcentral. Lineage: Eukaryota; Metazoa; Chordata; Mammalia; Primates; Hominidae.
CUGAGACCUAGAUUCAAAUGGAGUACUCGCCUGUCUGUCCCUUCUCUGCUACGGUUCAGGUUAGAUGAGCUGCUCCCGUUGGUGGUUUUUAUCUCUUAGCUACACAGCUGCCUGUAGCACUCUCGUCUUUCAGAAUGAGUUGCCAACUUUCCAUUCUGGCCGUCAGAAUUAAAACAAAGAAUCAUCCUCCAAAGUCAUCCAGGCCGAUUUGGUGGUGGCAGGAACAAAAGGGCACCAAUCCCAGAAGGGGGAGGCUAGAUCAACUUUAGGUCACGACUUACUACUUUCCUGGGGGAGAUGGAACCAGGGGCACUGGUGUUUUCUUCCACUUAGCAUCUUGCUUACACUAUUGUGGUAAGUGAAUAAAGGGUGG